CAACCAUCGAAGCAUACCAAUGUCUCAUUUCAUUUUCACUGAUCAAUUUAAACGGUAUUUAAGCAAGCGAUAUAGUUUAUCAUAAUUAAUAACUAAGUAAUCAAAUAACCAAAUAAACAAUACAGGAGGAAUCAAAACAACAAGAUAAUCGAGAAGACCAUCAAAACUAUCAAUUUAAAUGUGCACAAUAUAAUAGUAAGUAAUUUAGGAAGUACAGAAAAAUAAAUAGCAAACGCAAGACAAAUGUGAACUAACCGGUUCUGACUCCACUAGUGACCUGUAAUAUUUUUAUGAUUUU
Molecule: long non-coding RNA, 298 nt
Filed under: Carica papaya (papaya)
Lineage: Eukaryota; Viridiplantae; Streptophyta; Magnoliopsida; Brassicales; Caricaceae
Description: long non-coding RNA (CPAP_LNC001934)
Source: RNAcentral